AGCUCCAAUAGCGUAUAUUAAAGUUGUUGCAGUUAAAAAGCUCGUAGUUGGAUUUCUGGUGGGAGCGAUCGGUCCGGCGCUUUGCGCGGGUACUGGGUUGUCUCCGGCCAUCCUUGGGGAGAGCCUGUCUGGCAUUAGGUUGUCGGGCAGGGGAUCCCUAUCUUUUACUGUGAGAAAAUUAGAGUGUUCAAAGCAGGCUUAUGCCGUUGAAUAUAUUAGCAUGGAAUAAUGACAUAGGACCUUGGUACUAUUUUGUUGGUUUGCGCACCGAGGUAAUGAUUAAUAGGGACAGUCGGGGUUAUUCGUAUUUCAUUGUCAGAGGUGAAAUUCUUGGAUUUAUGAAAGACGAACUACUGCGAAAGCAUUUAACAAGGAUGUUUUCAUUAAUCAAGAACGAAAG
Molecule: ribosomal RNA, 400 nt
Filed under: phytoplankton environmental sample
Lineage: Eukaryota
Description: partial small subunit ribosomal RNA
Rfam family: Eukaryotic small subunit ribosomal RNA
Source: RNAcentral